UACAGAGAGUGCGAGCGUUAAUCGGAAUUACUGGGCGUAAAGCGCACGUAGGUGGAUGUUUAAGUCAGAUGUGAAAGCCCCGGGCUUAACCUGGGAAUUGCAUUUGAUACUGGGCGUCUUGAAUAUAGUAGAGGGAAGUGGAAUUUCCGGUGUAGCGGUGAAAUGCGUAGAUAUCGGAAGGAACAUCAGUGGCGAAAGCGGCUUCCUGGACUAAUAUUGACACUUAGGUGCGAAAGCGUGGGGAGCAAACAGG
RNAcentral lists this ribosomal RNA (253 nucleotides) under uncultured bacterium. Its description in RNAcentral is "partial 16S ribosomal RNA". It matches the Rfam family "Bacterial small subunit ribosomal RNA", at positions 524 to 776 of the family's 1533-position model. The record is from RNAcentral.